GGUAAGAUGGCCGAGUGGUUUAAGGCGGCAGAUUUAAGCUCUGCUGGGGGGAACCUCUCGUGGGUUCGAAUCCCACUCUUAUCA
This 84-nucleotide transfer RNA is filed under the name Trichophyton tonsurans. Its description in RNAcentral is "tRNA-Leu". It matches the Rfam family "tRNA". Rfam says of the family: Transfer RNA (tRNA) molecules are approximately 80 nucleotides in length. The record is from RNAcentral. Lineage: Eukaryota; Fungi; Ascomycota; Eurotiomycetes; Onygenales; Arthrodermataceae. RNAcentral also lists the same sequence under 1 other name.